GGGGAUAUGGAUCAGUGGUAGAGUGCCUGGCUAGUAUGCAUGAGACUCUUGGUUUAAUUCCUAGUAUCAUCA
This 72-nucleotide transfer RNA is filed under the name Marmota monax (woodchuck). It matches the Rfam family "tRNA". Rfam says of the family: Transfer RNA (tRNA) molecules are approximately 80 nucleotides in length. Their secondary structure includes four short double-helical elements and three loops (D, anti-codon, and T loops). The record is from Rfam by way of RNAcentral. Lineage: Eukaryota; Metazoa; Chordata; Mammalia; Rodentia; Sciuridae.